CGGGCCGUGUCUCAGUCCCAGAGUUUGAUCAUGGCUCAGGACGAACGCUGGCGGCGUGCUUAACACAUGCAAGUCGAACGGUGACGAUCAAGCUUGCUUGGUCUGAUCAGUGGCGAACGGGUGAGUAACACGUGAGUAACCUGCCCCAGACUCUGGGAUAACCCCGGGAAACCGGAGCUAAUACCGGAUAUGACACCAACGGGCAUCCGUAUGGUGUGGAAAGUUUUUCGGUCUGGGAUGGGCUCGCGGCCUAUCAGCUUGUUGGUGAAGUAGUGGCUCACCAAGGCGACGACGGGUAGCCGGCCUGAGAGGGCGACCGGCCACACUGGGACUGAGACACGGCCCAGACUCCUACGGGAGGCAGCAGUGGGGAAUAUUGCACAAUGGGCGAAAGCCUGAUGCAGCGACGCCGCGUGAGGGAUGACGGCCUUCGGGUUGUAAACCUCUUUUAGUAGGGAAGAAGCGAAAGUGACGGUACCUGCAGAAAAAGCACCGGCUAACUACGUGCCAGCAGCCGCGGUAAUAAGU
RNAcentral lists this ribosomal RNA (528 nucleotides) under uncultured bacterium. RNAcentral describes it as "bacterial SSU rRNA". It matches the Rfam family "Bacterial small subunit ribosomal RNA", at positions 1 to 528 of the family's 1533-position model. The record is from RNAcentral.